This 388-nucleotide ribosomal RNA is filed under the name uncultured soil bacterium. Its description in RNAcentral is "bacterial SSU rRNA". It matches the Rfam family "Bacterial small subunit ribosomal RNA", at positions 26 to 413 of the family's 1533-position model. The record is from RNAcentral.
AGAACGAACGUUGGCGGCGUGGAUUAGGCAUGCAAGUCGAACGAAGACGGGGUAGCAAUAUCCCGGACUGAGUGGCGAAAGGGGCAGUAAGCGUGGUAACCUACCCUGGGGACCGGGAUAGCCUUUCUAACGAGAGGGUAAUACCGGGCGACGUAGCGAGGGGGCAUCUUCUUGCUACCAAAUGAAUUUCGCCCUGGGAGGGGCUCACGUGCUAUUAGCUAGUUGGCGGGUAACGGCCCACCAAGGCUGAGAUGGCUAGCAGGUGUGAGAGCACGACCUGCGCCCCUGGCACUGAGACACUGGCCAGACUCCUACGGGAGGCUGCAGUCGAGGAUCUUUGGCAAUGGGCGCAAGCCUGAACCAAGCCGACGCCGCGUCGCGCGAUAGG